RNAcentral lists this microRNA precursor (175 nucleotides) under Medicago truncatula (barrel medic). RNAcentral's name for it is "MIR2619 microRNA precursor family". It matches the Rfam family "MIR2619 microRNA precursor family". The record is from Rfam by way of RNAcentral. Lineage: Eukaryota; Viridiplantae; Streptophyta; Magnoliopsida; Fabales; Fabaceae.
AAACUGCCCUCUAAGUUUUGCAACUGUAGCAGUUUUGGCCCCCCAAGGCCAAUUUUUGGAAGAAAAAAAAAAAAACAUGUGGCAUCUCACUUAGGGUCCCACGUCAGCGUAGAUCAAGUCAAAAUUGGCCUUGGGGGCCAAAACUGCCACAGAUGCAAAACUUAGGGGGCGGUUU